This 508-nucleotide ribosomal RNA is filed under the name uncultured bacterium. RNAcentral's name for it is "bacterial SSU rRNA". It matches the Rfam family "Bacterial small subunit ribosomal RNA", at positions 20 to 518 of the family's 1533-position model. The record is from RNAcentral.
UGGCUCAGAACGACGCUGGCGGCGCGUUUUAAGCAUGCAAGUCGAGCGGCAAGGGCCUUCGGGCCCCUAGAGCGGCGGACGGGUGAGUAACACGUGGACAAUCUGCCCCCCGGCCCGGGAUAGCCCAGGGAAACCUGGAUUAAUACCGGAUGAGACGGGACCCGCGAUGGCGGGACCCGGGAAAGGCGCUGCGGCGCCGCCGGGGGAUGAGUCUGCGUCCCAUUAGCUAGACGGCGGGGUAACGGCCCACCGUGGCGACGAUGGGUAGCCGGCCUGAGAGGGUGGACGGCCACAUUGGAACUGAGACACGGUCCAGACUCCUACGGGAGGCAGCAGCUAAGAAUCUUCCGCAAUGGGCGAAAGCCUGACGGAAGCGACGCCGCGUGAACGAAGAAGGCCGUGAGGUUGUAAAGUUCUUUUCGGGAGGGGGAACAACCGUGGCAGGGAAUGGCCGCGGGAUGACGUGAAUCCCGGAAUAAGCCCCGGCUAACUACGUGCCAGCCGCCGC